Molecule: transfer RNA, 76 nt
Filed under: Candidatus Lloydbacteria bacterium RIFCSPHIGHO2_01_FULL_41_20
Lineage: Bacteria; Candidatus Lloydiibacteriota
Description: tRNA-Arg
Rfam family: tRNA
About the family: Transfer RNA (tRNA) molecules are approximately 80 nucleotides in length.
Source: RNAcentral
GCGCCCGUAGCUCAACGGAUAGAGCACCUGGCUUCGAACCAGGGGGUUGUGGGUUCGAGUCCUGCCGGGCGCACUA